GACGCUAGCUACAGGCUUAACACAUGCAAGUCGAGGGGCUGCAUGGUCUUAGCUUGCUAAGGCCGAUGGCGACCGGCGCACGGGUGAGUAACACGUAUCCAACCUGCCGUCUACUCUUGGACAGCCUUCUGAAAGGAAGAUUAAUACAAGAUGGCAUCAUGAGUCCGCAUGUUCACAUGAUUAAAGGUAUUCCGGUAGACGAUGGGGAUGCGUUCCAUUAGAUAGUAGGCGGGGUAACGGCCCACCUAGUCUUCGAUGGAUAGGGGUUCUGAGAGGAAGGUCCCCCACAUUGGAACUGAGACACGGUCCAAACUCCUACGGGAGGCAGCAGUGAGGAAUAUUGGUCAAUGGGCGAGAGCCUGAACCAGCCAAGUAGCGUGAAGGAUGACUGCCCUAUGGGUUGUAAACUUCUUUUAUAAAGGAAUAAAGUCGGGUAUGGAUACCCGUUUGCAUGUACUUUAUGAAUAAGGAUCGGCUAACUCCGUGCCAGCAGCCGCGGUAAUACGGAGGAUCCGAGCGUUAUCCGGAUUUAUUGGGUUUAAAGGGAGCGUAGAUGGAUGUUUAAGUCAGUUGUGAAAGUUUGCGGCUCAACCGUAAAAUUGCAGUUGAUACUGGAUAUCUUGAGUGCAGUUGAGGCAGGCGGAAUUCGUGGUGUAGCGGUGAAAUGCUUAGAUAUCACGAAGAACUCCGAUUGCGAAGGCAGCCUGCUAAGCUGCAACUGACAUUGAGGCUCGAAAGUGUGGGUAUCAAACAGGAUUAGAUACCCUGGUAGUCCACACGGUAAACGAUGAAUACUCGCUGUUUGCGAUAUACUGCAAGCGGCCAAGCGAAAGCGUUAAGUAUUCCACCUGGGGAGUACGCCGGCAACGGUGAAACUCAAAGGAAUUGACGGGGGCCCGCACAAGCGGAGGAACAUGUGGUUUAAUUCGAUGAUACGCGAGGAACCUUACCCGGGCUUAAAUUGCAGAUGAAUUACGGUGAAAGCCGUAAGCCGCAAGGCAUCUGUGAAGGUGCUGCAUGGUUGUCGUCAGCUCGUGCCGUGAGGUGUCGGCUUAAGUGCCAUAACGAGCGCAACCCUUGUUGUCAGUUACUAACAGGUUCCGCUGAGGACUCUGACAAGACUGCCAUCGUAAGAUGUGAGGAAGGUGGGGAUGACGUCAAAUCAGCACGGCCCUUACGUCCGGGGCUACACACGUGUUACAAUGGGGGGUACAGAGGGCCGCUACCACGCGAGUGGAUGCCAAUCCCCAAAACCUCUCUCAGUUCGGACUGGAGUCUGCAACCCGACUCCACGAAGCUGGAUUCGCUAGUAAUCGCGCAUCAGCCACGGCGCGGUGAAUACGUUCCCGGGCCUUGUACACACCGCCCGUCAAGCCAUGGGAGCCGGGGGUACCUGAAGUGCGUAACCGCGAGGAGCGCCCUAGGGUAAAACUGGU
This 1436-nucleotide ribosomal RNA is filed under the name uncultured organism. RNAcentral describes it as "SSU rRNA". It matches the Rfam family "Bacterial small subunit ribosomal RNA". The record is from RNAcentral.